This 468-nucleotide ribosomal RNA is filed under the name uncultured bacterium. RNAcentral describes it as "partial 16S ribosomal RNA". It matches the Rfam family "Bacterial small subunit ribosomal RNA", at positions 28 to 507 of the family's 1533-position model. The record is from RNAcentral.
GACGAACGCUGGCGGCGUGCUUAACACAUGCAAGUCGAACGGAAAGGCUCCAGCUUGCUGGAGUACUCGAGUGGCGAACGGGUGAGUAACACGUGGGUGAUCUGCCCUGCACUUCGGGAUAAGCCUGGGAAACUGGGUCUAAUACCGGAUAGGACCGCACUUUGGUGUGUGUGGUGGAAAGGUUUUUCUGGUGUGGGAUGAGCUCGCGGCCUAUCAGUUUGUUGGUGGGGUAAUGGCCUACCAAGACGGCGACGGGUAGCCGGCCUGAGAGGGUGGACGGUCACAUUGGGACUGAGAUACGGCCCAGACUCCUACGGGAGGCAGAAGUGGGGAAUAUUGCACAAUGGGGGAAACCCUGAUGCAGCGACGCCGCGUGGGGGAUGAAGGACUUCGGGUUGUAAACUCCUUUCGCUAGGGACGAAGCUUUUUGUGACGGUACCUGGAGAAGAAGCACCGGCUAACUACGUG